RNAcentral lists this unclassified non-coding RNA (307 nucleotides) under plant metagenome. Its description in RNAcentral is "partial contains 5.8S ribosomal RNA, internal transcribed spacer 2, and large subunit ribosomal RNA". The stretch from base 1 to 105 matches the Rfam family "5.8S ribosomal RNA", at positions 50 to 154 of the family's 154-position model. The record is from RNAcentral.
GAAAUGCGAUAAGUAGUGUGAAUUGCAGAAUUCAGUGAAUCAUCGAAUCUUUGAACGCACAUUGCGCCCUUUGGUAUUCCAAAGGGCAUGCCUGUUCGAGCGUCAUUUGUACCCUCAAGCUUUGCUUGGUGUUGGGCAUCUUGUCUCUAGCUUUGCUGGAGACUCGCCUUAAAGUAAUUGGCAGCCGGCCUACUGGUUUCGGAGCGCAGCACAAGUCGCACUCUCUAUCAGCAAAGGUCUAGCAUCCAUUAAGCCUUUUUUCAACUUUUGACCUCGGAUCAGGUAGGGAUACCCGCUGAACUUAAGC